Molecule: ribosomal RNA, 910 nt
Filed under: bacterium enrichment culture clone F10 1.694-A3
Lineage: Bacteria
Description: bacterial SSU rRNA
Rfam family: Archaeal small subunit ribosomal RNA
Source: RNAcentral
UUCCGGUUGAUCCUGCCGGAGGCCACUGCUAUCGGGGUUUGACUAAGCCAUGCGAGUCGAGAGGUGUAAGACCUCGGCGUACUGCUCAGUAACACGUGGACAAUCUGCCCUGAAGUGGAGGAUAAUCCCGGGAAACUGGGGGUAAUACUCCAUAGUUCGUGCUGACUGGAAUGUUAUGCGAACGAAAGAUCCGUCGCUUCAGGAUGAGUCUGCGGCCGAUUAGGUAGUUGUUGGGGUAACGGCCCAACAAGCCUGUCAUCGGUACGGGUUGUGGGAGCAAGAGCCCGGAGAUGGAUUCUGAGACACGAAUCCAGGCCCUACGGGGCGCAGCAGGCGCGAAAACCUUACCAUGCGGGCAACCGUGAUAAGGAAACCCCGAGUGCCAGCACAGGCUGGCUGUCCGCCAGUGUAAAUAACUGGUGAAGAAAGGGCCGGGCAAGACCGGUGCCAGCCGCCGCGGUAAUACCGGCGGCUCGAGUGGUGGCCACUAUUACUGGGCUUAAAGGGUCCGUAGCUUGAUAUGCAAGUCUCUUGAGAAAUCCGCCAGCUUAACUGGUGGGCGUUCAGGGGAAACUGCAUUUCUAGGGACCGGGAGAGGUGAGAGGUACUGCCGGGGUAGGAGUGAAAUCCUGUAAUCCCGGUGGGACCACCUAUGGCGAAGGCAUCUCACCAGAACGGGUCCGACAGUGAGGGACGAAAGCUGGGGGAGCAAACCGGAUUAGAUACCCGGGUAGUCCCAGCUGUAAACGAUGCGCGUUAGGUGUGUCAGUGACCACGUGUCACUGAGGUGCCGAAAGGGAAACCGUGAAACGCGCCGCCUGGGGAGUACGGUCGCAAGGCUGAAACUUAAAGGAAUUGGCGGGGGAGCACCACAACGGGUGGAGCCUGCGGUUUAAUCGGACUCAACGCC